AACGAACGCUGGUGGCGUGCUUAACACAUGCAAGUCGAACGAGAAAGUUUCCUUCGGGAAAUUAGUAAAGUGGCGCAAGGGUGAGUAUCACGUGAAUAAUCUGCCCUCGAGAUCGGGAUAACAUGGUGAAAACUAUGCUAAUACCGGAUAAGACCACAUUUCAUAAGAAAUGCGGUAAAAGGAGUCUCAAUCUUCACUCGAGGAUGAGUUCGCGCAACAUUAGCUUGUUGGUGAGAUAAAAGCUCACCAAGGCUACGAUGUUUAGCCGGCCUGAGAGGGUGAACGGCCACACUGGAACUGAGACACGGUCCAGACUCCUACGGGAGGCAGCAGUGGGGAAUAUUGCGCAAUGGGCGAAAGCCUGACGCAGCAACGCCGUGUGAGCGAUGAAGGCUUUAGGGUCGUAAAGCUCUGUCAAAUGGGAAGAAUUUUGACGGUACCAUUAGAGGAAGCCCCGGCUAACUCCGUGCCAGCAGCCGCGGUAAUACGGAGGGGGCAAGCGUUGUUCGGAAUUAUUGGGCGUAAAGCGUAUGUAGGCGGCUAAAUAAGUCAGGCGUGCAGGCCCGUGGCUCAACCACGGAAUUGCGUUUGAAACUGUUUAGCUUGAGUACAGGAGAGGAAAGCGGAAUUCCCAGUGUAGCGGUGAAAUGCAUUGAUAUUGGGAAGAACAUCUGUGGCGAAGGCGGCUUUCUGGUCUGUUACUGACGCUGAGAUACGAAAGCCAGGGUAGCGAACGGGAUUAGAUACCCCGGUAGUCCUGGCUGUAACGAUGGGCACUAGGUGCAGGAGGUAUCGAUCCCCUCUGUGCCGUAGCUAACGCGUUAAGUGCCCCGCCUGGGGAGUACGGUCGCAAGGCUGAAACCCAAAGGAAUUGACGGGGGCCCGCACAAGCGGUGGAGCAUGUGGUUUAAUUCGACGCAACGCGAAGAACCUUACCUGAGCUUGACAUGCACGGGCAAGCCAUAGAAAUAUGGCCCCUCUUCGGAGUCCGUGUGCAGGUGCUGCAUGGCUGUCGUCAGCUCGUGUCGUGAGAUGUUGGGUUAAGUCCCGCAACGAGCGCAACCCCUGCCUUUAGUUGCCAUCGGGUCAUGCCGGGAACUCUAAAGGGACUGCCGGUGAUAAACCGGAGGAAGGUGGGGAUGACGCCAAGUCCUCAUGGCCUUUAUGCUCAGGGCUACACACGUGCUACAAUGGCUGGUACAAAGAGUCGCGAGACCGCGAGGUGGAGCUAAUCUCAUAAAACCAGUCUCAGUUCGGAUUGGAGUCUGCAACUCGACUCCAUGAAGCUGGAAUCGCUAGUAAUCGUGAAUCAGCAUGCCACGGUGAAUACGUUCCCGGGCCUUGUACACACCGCCCGUCACACCACGAAAGUCGAUUGUACCGGAAGUCAUGAUGCCAACCCGCAAGGGAGGCUGGUGCCUAUGGUAUGGUUGGUGAU
RNAcentral lists this ribosomal RNA (1438 nucleotides) under uncultured marine bacterium. Its description in RNAcentral is "16S ribosomal RNA". It matches the Rfam family "Bacterial small subunit ribosomal RNA". The record is from RNAcentral.